This 1220-nucleotide ribosomal RNA is filed under the name metagenome. Its description in RNAcentral is "bacterial SSU rRNA". It matches the Rfam family "Bacterial small subunit ribosomal RNA", at positions 264 to 1498 of the family's 1533-position model. The record is from RNAcentral.
CUUACCAAGGCUACGAUGGGUAGGGGUCCUGAGAGGGAGAUCCCCCACACUGGUACUGAGACACGGACCAGACUCCUACGGGAGGCAGCAGUGAGGAAUAUUGGACAAUGGGCGCAAGCCUGAUCCAGCCAUGCCGCGUGCAGGAUGACGGUCCUAUGGAUUGUAAACUGCUUUUAUACGAGAAGAAACACUCCUACGUGUAGGAGCUUGACGGUAUCGUAAGAAUAAGGAUCGGCUAACUCCGUGCCAGCAGCCGCGGUAAUACGGAGGAUCCAAGCGUUAUCCGGAAUCAUUGGGUUUAAAGGGUCCGUAGGCGGUUUAAUAAGUCAGUGGUGAAAGCCCAUCGCUCAACGGUGGAACGGCCAUUGAUACUGUUAAACUUGAAUUAUUAGGAAGUAACUAGAAUAUGUAGUGUAGCGGUGAAAUGCUUAGAGAUUACAUGGAAUACCAAUUGCGAAGGCAGGUUACUACUAAUUGAUUGACGCUGAUGGACGAAAGCGUGGGUAGCGAACAGGAUUAGAUACUCUGGUAGUCCACGCCGUAAACGAUGGAUACUAGCUGUUGGGAGCAAUCUCAGUGGCUAAGCGAAAGUGAUAAGUAUCCCACCUGGGGAGUACGUUCGCAAGAAUGAAACUCAAAGGAAUUGACGGGGGCCCGCACAAGCGGUGGAGCAUGUGGUUUAAUUCGAUGAUACGCGAGGAACCUUACCAAGGCUUAAAUGUAGAUUGACCGAUUUGGAAACAGAUCUUUCGCAAGACAAUUUACAAGGUGCUGCAUGGUUGUCGUCAGCUCGUGCCGUGAGGUGUCAGGUUAAGUCCUAUAACGAGCGCAACCCCUGUUGUUAGUUGCCAGCGAGUCAAGUCGGGAACUCUAACAAGACUGCCAGUGCAAACUGUGAGGAAGGUGGGGAUGACGUCAAAUCAUCACGGCCCUUACGCCUUGGGCUACACACGUGCUACAAUGGCCGGUACAGAGAGCAGCCACUGGGCGACCAGGAGCGAAUCUAUAAAACCGGUCACAGUUCGGAUCGGAGUCUGCAACUCGACUCCGUGAAGCCGGAAUCGCUAGUAAUCGGAUAUCAGCCAUGAUCCGGUGAAUGCGUUCCCGGGCCUUGUACACACCGCCCGUCAAGCCAUGGAAGCUGGGGGUGCCUGAAGUCGGUGACCGCAAGGAGCUGCCUAGGGUAAAACUGGUAACUAGGGCUAAGUCGUAACAAGGUA